UACAGAGGGGGCAAGCGUUGUUCGGAAUUACUGGGCGUAAAGGGCGCGUAGGCGGCCGCCUAAGUCAGACGUGAAAUCCCUCGGCUCAACCGGGGAACUGCGUCUGAUACUGGGUGGCUUGAAUCCGGGAGAGGGAUGCGGAAUUCCAGGUGUAGCGGUGAAAUGCGUAGAGAUGGGGGAGAACACUCGUGGCGAAGGCGGCCAGCUGGACCAGUUCUGACGCUGAGACGCGAAAGCGUGGGGAGCAAACAGG
This 253-nucleotide ribosomal RNA is filed under the name uncultured bacterium. RNAcentral's name for it is "partial 16S ribosomal RNA". It matches the Rfam family "Bacterial small subunit ribosomal RNA", at positions 524 to 776 of the family's 1533-position model. The record is from RNAcentral.